This 605-nucleotide ribosomal RNA is filed under the name Pseudogemmobacter blasticus. Its description in RNAcentral is "bacterial SSU rRNA". It matches the Rfam family "Bacterial small subunit ribosomal RNA", at positions 61 to 712 of the family's 1533-position model. Lineage: Bacteria; Pseudomonadati; Pseudomonadota; Alphaproteobacteria; Rhodobacterales; Paracoccaceae. The record is from RNAcentral.
GUCGAGCGAGGACUUCGGUCCUAGCGGCGGACGGGUGAGUAACGCGUGGGAACGUGCCCUUUGCUACGGAAUAGCCCUGGGAAACUGGGAGUAAUACCGUAUGUGCCCUUUGGGGGAAAGAUUUAUCGGCAAAGGAUCGGCCCGCGUUGGAUUAGGUAGUUGGUGGGGUAAUGGCCUACCAAGCCGACGAUCCAUAGCUGGUUUGAGAGGAUGAUCAGCCACACUGGGACUGAGACACGGCCCAGACUCCUACGGGAGGCAGCAGUGGGGAAUCUUAGACAAUGGGCGCAAGCCUGAUCUAGCCAUGCCGCGUGAGCGAUGAAGGCCUUAGGGUUGUAAAGCUCUUUCAGCGAGGAAGAUAAUGACUGUACUCGCAGAAGAAGCCCCGGCUAACUCCGUGCCAGCAGCCGCGGUAAUACGGAGGGGGCUAGCGUUGUUCGGAAUUACUGGGCGUAAAGCGCACGUAGGCGGACUGGAAAGUCAGGGGUGAAAUCCCGGGGCUCAACCCCGGAACUGCCUUUGAAACUCCCAGUCUUGAGGUCGAGAGAGGUGAGUGGAAUUCCGAGUGUAGAGGUGAAAUUCGUAGAUAUUCGGAGGAACACCAG